This 487-nucleotide ribosomal RNA is filed under the name uncultured bacterium. Its description in RNAcentral is "bacterial SSU rRNA". It matches the Rfam family "Bacterial small subunit ribosomal RNA", at positions 8 to 500 of the family's 1533-position model. The record is from RNAcentral.
AGGCUUUGAUCCUGGCUCAGGACAAACGCUGGCGGCGUGCCUAACACAUGCAAGUCGAGCGAAGCAUUUAGAUUAGCUUGCUAAUCUUUAUGACUGAGCGGCGAACGGGUGAGUAACACGUGGGUGAUCUGCCUGAAAGUCUGGGAUAACAGUUCGAAAGGACUACUAAUACCGGAUGAAGUUAUUAGCGUAGAGCUAAUAAUCAAAGCGUUACGGAGCGCUUUCAGAUGAGCCCGCGUCCCAUUAGCUAGUUGGUGAGGUAAAGGCUCACCAAGGCGACGAUGGGUAGCCGGUCUGAGAGGAUGGUCGGCCACACUGGAACUGAGACACGGUCCAGACUCCUACGGGAGGCAGCAGUGGGGAAUUUUGCGCAAUGGGGGCAACCUUGACGCAGCGACGCCGCGUGAGCGAAGAAGGCCUUCGGGUUGUAAAGCUCUGUCUGGGGGGAAGAUAGUGACGGUACCCUCUCGGAGGAAGCCCCGGCGAA